Molecule: long non-coding RNA, 1011 nt
Filed under: Oryctolagus cuniculus (rabbit)
Lineage: Eukaryota; Metazoa; Chordata; Mammalia; Lagomorpha; Leporidae
Description: lncRNA (ENSOCUG00000032174.1)
Source: RNAcentral
UCAAUCCAAAAUUAUCCAUCAUUCUCUUAUUUUAGCACUGACUUUAUCUCAUUUUUAAAAAUUUAUUUAUUGCUUGAAAGGCAGAGGUGCAGAGGGGCAGAGAGAGGUCUUCCAUCCACUGGAUGGCUACACCGGCUGGGGCUGCUCCAAUCCAAAGCCAGGAGCCAGCGGUUUCUUCCAGGUCUCCCAUGCGGGUGCAGGGACCCAAGGACUUGGGCCACCUUCUUCUGCUUUCCCAGGCUGCAGCAGAGAGCUGGGUCGGAAGAGGAGCAGCUGGCACUAGAACUGGCGUUGAUACGAGAUGCUGGUACUGCAGACGGUGGCUUUACCCGCUACGCCACAGUGCUGGCCUCUUUAUCUCAUGGAAGGUCCUUGCUGGAUGAGCCCCCAGACGUCGCAGCUGCAGAAUCUGUCCUCUCUAAAGCCACCUGCCUCGGGCUUUCUUCACAGUCACAAGAAGUGACAGGAAGACCUCGCGGCGCCCAUGUGGGCAAGGAUACUGGCAUUGGUGCCGGAGCUGGCGGCUUUGUGUGGCUGUCCGCGUCAGUGAGGCCGAGACGUGGAUGUGAUACAUUGACCCCGGUUCUCGUCCUCCACCUUCCUCCUCCACUGUGGGCUGCUCUGACCCCAACGCUGGUGUUGACCUGGGAGGCGGGAAGGACCCUCUUCCACAGCAGCUGUGGUGAUCCUGCGCCCGCCUGCUCCCCGCGCCAGUGUUCAGGGCCUCAGAGUUCCUCUUGGGAGCGCAAACCUCUGCCUCACACGCCAAGUGCAAGCGGUGGCUCCUGCAUCAUCUGUCGCUCCCGCACCGGGCAGCUCAAGCCCUCACCCCAAAGCCUCUUUGCUUGCAGCCCGCCUGAGGGGUCCCAUCCUAGGUCAAGGCUUUUCACCCUUCUGCAAAACCCUCCUGACACGAACUCCUGGCCGGGACCCCAGGCUGUAUGGCCAGGACGCCACCUGCUAACUCCCCUAUCAGCCAGUGCCUUCCAGGCCCUGUCCCUGGAGCCAUGA